Regulatory RNA element from Firmicutes bacterium M10-2, 117 nucleotides. It matches the Rfam family "Ribosomal protein L10 leader". From Rfam's summary of the family: This family is a putative r-protein leader autoregulatory structure found in B. subtilis and other low-GC Gram-positive bacteria. It is located in the 5' untranslated regions of mRNAs encoding ribosomal proteins L10 and L12 (rplJ-rplL). A Rho-independent transcription terminator structure that is probably involved in regulation is included at the 3' end. The record is from Rfam. NCBI's taxonomy places the organism in Bacteria, Bacillati, Bacillota.
AAGAUUGUUAUCAAUAUUCCAAAGACAGUAACGGCAAUCGCUUAAUCAUGUUACCGAGGGGUCAUACAUAAAAAUGAUGUAUCAGCCUGCCUCGUUGCAGGCUUUUCUUUUGAAUAU